Molecule: ribosomal RNA, 2966 nt
Filed under: Drosophila persimilis
Lineage: Eukaryota; Metazoa; Arthropoda; Insecta; Diptera; Drosophilidae
Description: eukaryotic LSU rRNA
Rfam family: Eukaryotic large subunit ribosomal RNA (bases 1816-2797)
Source: RNAcentral
GCUCGGAGUCUUCGUGGAUUUCAAGGGAGCCUUCGACAACGUUGAGUGGAAUGCUGCACUACGCCGCCUCCUUGAGCUGGGAUGCCGAGAAGCAAGCUUGUGGCGAAGUUUCUUCUCCGGCCGGAGUGCGAGCAUCGUCAGUAGGCAUGGAGUAGCCACUGUUCCGGUGACAAGAGGUUGCCCGCAGGGGUCCAUAAGUGGUCCAUUUAUAUGGGACAUCUUAAUGGACGUAUUGCUCCAGCGCUUAGAGUCCCUUGGUGCGCUCAGCGCGUAUGCUGACGACUUGCUCCUCCUCAUUGAAGGGAAUGCCCGAUCAGAGCUCGAACAAAAAGGAGGUGAGUUAAUGUCCAUCGUAGGCGCUUGGGGAGUUGAAGUCGGCGUUGCCGUUUCAACUAGCAAGACGGCGAUCAUGCUGCUCAAAGGCAGUGGUACAGUUUGCUGGAGCAAGCCUGCCAUAUAAGCGCAAGUAUCGGUACCUAGGCAUCACGGUCGGCGAGCGGUUGAGUUUUCUCCCGCACAUCACGGGCUUGCGUGAUAAGCUGACCAGAGUCGUAGGGGCAUUGUCGCGCGUACUGGGGUCGACGGUCGACUGGGGACUCAGUCCCCCCGCAAAGCGGACAAUAUAUGCCGGACUCAUGGUGCCCUGUGCACGAUUUGGUGCCUCGGUUUGGUCUGUCGUGACGACGACGCAAGUGGUUGCCAGGAGGCAUCUGCUUGCGUGCCAAAGGAUCGUCCUGAUUGGAUGCCUACCGGUAUGCCGAACAGUGUCCACCAUGGCGCUGCAAGUACUAGCUGGAGCCCCCCCGUUUGAACUAAAGCGUGACUACCCGCUGGAGGAGAGCGAUUGGCUGUACGGCGAAGAUUUGGCAAAUCUUAGCUGGAAGCAGAAGAUGGCGACUAGACGAAGACCUGUUGUGCGAGUGGCAACGCAGAUGGGAAGAUGGUGACUCCCCAGGUCGGGUGAAGCACCGCUUCAUCCCGAACGCAGGCUUCGUCUACAGCGAACGAAGGUUUGGCUUCACGCUGCGCGCUGGGUUCCUGCUGACGGGCCACGGAUCGCUCAAUGCAUUUCUGAAUGGAAGAAACCUUAGCGACACGCCAGCAUGUCUAUGCGGCGCAGAACGCGAGGAUUGGCAGCACUUCCUAUGUGCUUGUCCCCUCUAUACAGACUUGCGAGACCUCGAUGGACUUGGAGUGCAGUACACGGAUGGCGACUGGACCUUCUCCGAUGGCUUCUCAGGAGUGAAUGCGGACUCUCGACAGGUUCGCCGGACUGGCGUUCUCCAGGCGACAGCAGCUGCCGAAUGUGCAAGCGGCGCACGGGCUGGGUGGAUUCCCUAACCAGGCCGGUCGGGGCUAAAAGGGAGGAUCGAGCUGAGUCCUUAAGAUCGGUACCACGGGUUGUGCAGUUCCAAGGCUGCACAUUGAGGUCGGCCCCCUAGUGGGAGUAUCGUGGUGGCUGUGGUUGAUACCCAAACGUUACGCGGGGAGAGCCGCUAGGCUCCUCGUGGAGUUGCGCUCUCAACCGGGUGCCGAGACACAUAGAUCGGAAGACGUGUUAGAUACACCUCGCCCCUCACCAAGGGGGAUUGUAUGCCCGACCAGGAUACUUUCAAUUGGUACCAGAAGAGUCGCUAUGAACAUAGCUAUAGCUUCUUUUUAGGGGCGCUAACUGGCGCAUUGUACCAGGUUCCUGCGUAUGUAGCGGUGGUGCGUGAUGGCGUGAUAUAUGUAUAUAUAUCGCACUAAUCGAGGCUAAGCUGCAAAUAAACAUUAGACGCCGUGGUUGAAAUCCCUCCCUGAGGAACCGCCACGUAAAAUAAAGCUGAGAGAUCAGAUUCAUUCUAUCUAGCGAAACCACAGCCAAGGGAACGGGCGUGGAAUAAUUAGCGGGGAAAGAAGACCCUUUUGAGCUUGACUCUAAUCUGGCAGUGUAAGGAGACAUAAGAGGUGUAGCAUAAGUGGGAGAUAUUAGAUUUCGGUUUGGUAUCGACCAUGAAAUACCACUACUCUUAUUGUUUCCUUACUUACUUGAUUAAAUGGAACGUGUAUCAUUUCCUAGCCAUUAUACGGAUAUAUUUAUUAUAUCUUAUGGUAUUGGGUUUUGAUGCAAGCUUCUUGAUCAAAGUAUCACGAGUUUGUUAUAUAAUCGCAAACAAAUUCUUUAAUGAGAAAAUGCUUUUAUGUAUUUUCAGUUUGAAAAUUUGGUAUAACUCCAAUUACUCAGGUAUGAUCCAAUUCAAGGACAUUGCCAGGUAGGGAGUUUGACUGGGGAGGCGGAGGUGUCCCAAGGCCAGCUCAGUGCGGACAGAAACCACACAUAGAGCAAAAGGGCACAUGCUGACUUGAUCUCGGUGUUCAGUACACACAGGGACAGCAAAAGCUCGGCCUAUCGAUUCUUUUGGUUUAAAGAGUUUUUAACAAGAGGUGUCAGAAAAGUUACCAUAGGGAUAACUGGCUUGUGGCGGCCAAGCGUUCAUAGCGACGUCGCUUUUUGAUCCUUCGAUGUCGGCUCUUCCUAUCAUUGUGAAGCAAAAUUCACCAAGCGUUGGAUUGUUCACCCACGCAAGGGAAAGUGAACUGGGUUUAGACCAUCGUGAGACAGGUUAGUUUUACCCUACUAAUGACAAAACGUUGUUGCGACAGCAUUCCUGCGUAGUACGAGAGGAACCGCAGGUACGGAGCAAUGGCACAAUACUUGUUCGAGCGAACAGUGGUAUGACGCUACGUCCGUUGGAUUAUGCCUGAACGCCUCUAAGGUCGUAUCCGUGCUGGACUGCAAUGAUAAAUAAGGGGCAAUUUGCAUUGUAUGGCUUCUAAACCAUUAAAAGUUUAUAAUUUAUUUUAUAAACGACAAUGGAUGUGAUGCCAAUGUAAUUUGUAACAUAGUAAAUUGGGAGGAUCAUCGAUCACCUGAUGCCGCGCUAGUUGCAUAUAAAAACAUUAUUUAAUACAAUGACAAAGCC